RNAcentral lists this ribosomal RNA (1524 nucleotides) under Calumma parsonii. RNAcentral's name for it is "16S rRNA". It matches the Rfam family "Bacterial large subunit ribosomal RNA", at positions 263 to 2850 of the family's 2925-position model. Lineage: Eukaryota; Metazoa; Chordata; Lepidosauria; Squamata; Chamaeleonidae. The record is from RNAcentral.
ACUCGCAAAAAGCCCAACUGUCUGCCCAACAUGCUGUCUAACAAACCACCCAAAACAUUUGACUCCAGCUAGUAGAUGCGAUCGAACUCCGCCCAAUCGACGCAAUAUACAAAGUACUGUGAAGGAAGAAUGAAAAAUAGUGAAAUCGUCAGUACAACAAAGCAGGGACCAAAACUCAUACCUUUUGCAUUAUGGUCUAGCAAGAAGACCAGACAAAGUGACCCUACAGCCUCAAACCCCGAACACAAGUGAUCUACUUCCUGGCAGUUGUAUCGAACAAACUCGUCUCUGUAGCAAUAGGGUGAGAAGACCAGAAGUAGCGGCCAAAACCAACGAACUUGUUGAUAGCUGGUUAUCCGACAAAUGAAUCCAAGUUCACACCCGACAACCAAAUAAUCAAUCUAAUGAUAAAAUUUUUAUGUCAGGUAAUAGUCGAUGAGGGCACAGCCCCAUCGACAUGGGAUACAGCCCACUGUAGAGAGAAACCAAAAAUCACCCGGACCAGUAGGCCUUUAGACAGCCAACAAUAAAUAUCGCGUCACAGUAAUUUACCUUAAAAUACCACCAAAAACAAAUUUCUCCCACACACCAACCGGAUAAUUCUACAAAUCUGUAGAAGAACUUAUGCUAGAAUAAGUAAUCAAGAAUCCUCUUCUAAAGACAGAAAUUAAAAUAGUACACUAUACCCAACAGACCAAAAAAGGAACAAUGCCCCACAUUAAACAAUACAUUAAAACACACUGUUCACCCAACACAGGACUGUCCACCAAUAGGCUUAAAAUCUUAAAAGGAACUCGGCAACCCCCUUCUCCAACUGUUUACCAAAAACAUAGCUUCUAGCUUAACCCAAUAUUAGAAGUAACGCCUGCCCUGUGGAGACCCUAAACGGCCGCGGCACUAAAACCGUGCAAAGGUAGCACAAUCACUUGUCCCUUAAAUGAGGACCCGUAUGAAAGGCAACAUGAGAGAAGACCUGUCUCCUAAGAUCCGCCAGUGAAAUUGAACUACCAGUACAAAAGCUGGUAUUAACAAGCAAGACAAAAAGACCCUGUGGAGCUUUAACAAGUUGUUUAUUUAAAAUUAAACAAUAGUUUCAGUUGGGACAACUCUAGAGAAAAUAAACCUCUUAAACUACUAAGACUAACAAGUCUAAAACUAAACUACGACCCAGUCAUACUGAAUAACGAAACAAGCUACCCCAGGGAUAACAGCGCCACCUUCUCAAAGAGUCCAUAUCAACAAGAAGAUCUACGACCUCGAUGUUGGAUCAGGGUACCCUGACGGUGCAACCGCUAUCAAUGGUUCGUUUGUUCAACGACUAACACCCUACGUGAUCUGAGUUCAGACCGGAGCAAUCCAGGUCGGCCUUUAUCUGCUAACCCGCCUCUACUAGUACGAAAGGACCGUAAAGACAAGACUAAUGCUUACAGCACAUCUUUUAAAAAUAAUGAACUAAACUCAAAUAUUUCAACACCGAUCUAACCUAAAACAAAGACCCAUAAAACCGGCGCCACCCGGACCUAU